UCCUGUUGUGUGGCCCAGACAGGGCACUGUCUGUGGCCCCAGGGGUUGAGGACCCCUGGCUUUAACAACAGAAAGACCCCAGUUACUGGAUUGGGAUCCACCCUCACUCAAUAUGGCCUCAGCUUAAUGAAAGACAUCUGCAGAGACCCUAUUUCUACUAAAAGCCACAUUCUGAGACUUCUCGUGGGCGUGAGUUUUUGAGAGACACUGUUCUGCUCCAUGCAGGGAGGGAAUUGGGAUCUGAAGACGUUGCAUUCGAGGUCUCGGGGCUCCUGAUGAGCAGCCUCGGCCUGACCUGGGGCAGGUGUGAUGUCUGCGGCUCACCAUCUCCACCCUGCCUGCUGUGGAAUCUCCACAACGACAGGUGCUUUGGAGGCCAGAGUGCAUGCGUACGGGCCCUGCACACGCUGAAUGUCACUGGGAACAAGGACACACCCCGCUUCCAGGAGAAGAUAGAACAUGUCGACCCCUUUUAGCCAUCCCCAGUGCAGGACAUGCUAUUGACUUCCAUGAGACAAACACCUACUUGGAAAUCAGGUUUUUUCUGUACCUUUUGAAGGAGCAGGAAUUUCCCAGCAUUUCCUGGACAAAGACGGAGAUUCUUUCCACUGAGGAGGCAAGGAUGGAGUUGCUGCUGACCCGUGCAGAUUUGCUGCUGGUAACAUACUCAUGGGCAAAGUCUGAAAAACCUCUUCCUGCCCUGGGCAAGGCAGAUGGGGCAGCCCAGCAGGCUGGCUUUGCCCACCGUCUCCGAUAUCAUCCAACACAGUCAGCCAGGCCACAUUCGCUGCAUCCUUUCCAGCAAGAUGUCAUUCUGAGAUUUUUGUCAUUCCUGGGCGUUAUGAGGACUGCCAAGGGACACAAUUCCAUGGGAGGAAAGUUUUCUUCUAAGCUGCAAGCCAGCUCUGGCUUCUGGAGUUUCUCCUUAGGAUUGCAAGACAGUAGUUCCCUGUCCUUUAGGUCUUCUCCAGAAAUACCUUAAAAUAGCAAAUAAAAUAAGAUAUAA
Long non-coding RNA from Homo sapiens (human), 1006 nucleotides. Ensembl annotates it as S-phase cancer associated transcript 1. Its record names the gene SCAT1. The record is from Ensembl. Lineage: Eukaryota; Metazoa; Chordata; Mammalia; Primates; Hominidae.